AUCAGAAGUGCGAAUGCUGACAUAAGUAACGAUAAAGCGGGUGAAAAGCCCGCUCGCCGGAAGACCAAGGGUUCCUGUCCAACGUUAAUCGGGGCAGGGUGAGUCGACCCCUAAGGCGAGGCCGAAAGGCGUAGUCGAUGGGAAACGGGUUAAUAUUCCCGUACUUGGUGUUACUGCGAAGGGGGGACGGAGAAGGCUAUGUUGGCCGGGCGACGGUUGUCCCGGUUUAAGCGUGUAGGUGUGUGUUCCAGGUAAAUCCGGUU
This 263-nucleotide ribosomal RNA is filed under the name Salmonella enterica subsp. enterica serovar Muenchen. Its description in RNAcentral is "partial 23S ribosomal RNA". It matches the Rfam family "Bacterial large subunit ribosomal RNA", at positions 1281 to 1547 of the family's 2925-position model. Lineage: Bacteria; Pseudomonadati; Pseudomonadota; Gammaproteobacteria; Enterobacterales; Enterobacteriaceae. The record is from RNAcentral. RNAcentral also lists the same sequence under 2 other names.